This 429-nucleotide ribosomal RNA is filed under the name Chloroflexota bacterium. Its description in RNAcentral is "Chloroflexi bacterium partial 16S ribosomal RNA". It matches the Rfam family "Bacterial small subunit ribosomal RNA", at positions 355 to 776 of the family's 1533-position model. The record is from RNAcentral. Lineage: Bacteria; Bacillati; Chloroflexota.
UGGGGAAUAUUGCACAAUGGGCGCAAGCCUGAUGCAGCCAUGCCGCGUGUAUGAAGAAGGCCUUCGGGUUGUAAAGUACUUUCAGUCGGGAGGAAGGUGGUAAGGUUAAUAACCUUGGCAAUUGACGUUACCGACAGAAGAAGCACCGGCUAACUCCGUGCCAGCAGCCGCGGUAAUAUGGAGGGUGCAAGCGUUAAUCGGAAUUACUGGGCGUAAAGCGCACGCAGGCGGUCUGUCAAGUCGGAUGUGAAAUCCCCGGGCUCAACCUGGGAACUGCAUUCGAAACUGGCAGGCUAGAGUCUUGUAGAGGGGGGUAGAAUUCCAGGUGUAGCGGUGAAAUGCGUAGAGAUCUGGAGGAAUACCGGUGGCGAAGGCGGCCCCCUGGACAAAGACUAACGCUCAGGUGCGAAAGCGUGGGGAGCAAACAGG